Molecule: ribosomal RNA, 2906 nt
Filed under: Escherichia coli
Lineage: Bacteria; Pseudomonadati; Pseudomonadota; Gammaproteobacteria; Enterobacterales; Enterobacteriaceae
Also listed under: 1 other name
Description: bacterial LSU rRNA
Rfam family: Bacterial large subunit ribosomal RNA
Source: RNAcentral
UUAAGUGACUAAGCGUACACGGUGGAUGCCUAGGCAGUCAGAGGCGAUGAAGGGCGUGCUAAUCUGCGAAAAGCGUCGGUAAGGUGAUAUGAACCGUUACAACCGGCGAUACCCGAAUGGGGAAACCCAGUGUGUUUCGACACACUAUCAUGUCAUGAAUACAUAGUGGCAUGAGGCGAACCGGGGGAACUGAAACAUCUAAGUACCCCGAGGAAAAGAAAUCAACCGAGAUUCCCCCAGUAGCGGCGAGCGAACGGGGAGGAGCCCAGAACCUGAAUCGGCUUGUGUGUUAGUGGAAGCGUCUGGAAAGUCGCGCAGCAAAGGGUGAUAGCCCCGUACACUAAAAUGCACAGGUCGUGAGUUCGAUGAGUAGGGCGGGACACGUGACAUCCUGUCUGAAUAUGGGGGGACCAUCCUCCAAGGCUAAAUACUCCUGACUGACCGAUAGUGAACCAGUACCGUGAGGGAAAGGCGAAAAGAACCCCGGCGAGGGGAGUGAAAUAGAACCUGAAACCGUGUACGUACAAGCAGUGGGAGCACCUUCGUGGUGUGACUGCGUACCUUUUGUAUAAUGGGUCAGCGACUUAUAUUUUGUAGCAAGGUUAACCGUAUAGGGGAGCCGUAGGGAAACCGAGUCUUAACUGGGCGAAUAGUUGCAAGGUAUAGACCCGAAACCCGGUGAUCUAGCCAUGGGCAGGUUGAAGGUUGGGUAACACUAACUGGAGGACCGAACCGACUAAUGUUGAAAAAUUAGCGGAUGACUUGUGGCUGGGGGUGAAAGGCCAAUCAAACCGGGAGAUAGCUGGUUCUCCCCGAAAGCUAUUUAGGUAGCGCCUCGUGAACUCAUCUUCGGGGGUAGAGCACUGUUUCGGCUAGGGGGCCAUCCCGGCUUACCAAACCGAUGCAAACUCCGAAUACCGAAGAAUGUUAUCACGGGAGACACACGGCGGGUGCUAACGUCCGUCGUGAAGAGGGAAACAACCCAGACCGCCAGCUAAGGUCCCAAAGUCAUGGUUAAGUGGGAAACGAUGUGGGAAGGCAUAGACAGCCAGGAUGUUGGCUUAGAAGCAGCCAUCAUUUAAAGAAAGCGUAAUAGCUCACUGGUCGAGUCGGCCUGCGCGGAAGAUGUAACGGGGCUAAACCAUGCACCGAAGCUGCGGCAGCGACGCUUAGGCGUUGUUGGGUAGGGGAGCGUUCUGUAAGCCGUUGAAGGUGGCCUGUGAGGGUUGCUGGAGGUAUCAGAAGUGCGAAUGCUGACAUAAGUAACGAUAAAGCGGGUGAAAAGCCCGCUCGCCGGAAGACCAAGGGUUCCUGUCCAACGUUAAUCGGGGCAGGGUGAGUCGACCCCUAAGGCGAGGCUGAAAAGCGUAGUCGAUGGGAAACAGGUUAAUAUUCCUGUACUUGGUGUUACUGCGAAGGGGGGACGGAGAAGGCUAGGCUAGCCGGGCGACGGUUGUCCCGGUUUAAGCGUGUAGGGGGUGUGACCUGGUAAAUCCGGUUGCAUAUCAACCCUGAGGCGUGAUGACGAUGCACUACGGUGCAGAAGUAGUUGAUGCCCUGCUUCCAGGAAAAGCCUCUAAGCUCCAGGUAACAUUGAAUCGUACCCCAAACCGACACAGGUGGUCAGGUAGAGAAUACCAAGGCGCUUGAGAGAACUCGGGUGAAGGAACUAGGCAAAAUGGUGCCGUAACUUCGGGAGAAGGCACGCUGGCAUGUAGGUGAAGUCCCUUGCGGAUGGAGCUGAAGCCAGUCGAAGAUACCAGCUGGCUGCAACUGUUUAAUAAAAACACAGCACUGUGCAAACACGAAAGUGGACGUAUACGGUGUGACGCCUGCCCGGUGCUGGAAGGUUAAUUGAUGGGGUCAGCCGCAAGGCGAAGCUCUUGAUCGAAGCCCCAGUAAACGGCGGCCGUAACUAUAACGGUCCUAAGGUAGCGAAAUUCCUUGUCGGGUAAGUUCCGACCUGCACGAAUGGCGUAAUGAUGGCCAGGCUGUCUCCACCCGAGACUCAGUGAAAUUGAACUCGCUGUGAAGAUGCAGUGUACCCGCGGCAAGACGGAAAGACCCCGUGAACCUUUACUAUAGCUUGACACUGAACAUUGAGCCUUGAUGUGUAGGAUAGGUGGGAGGCUUUGAAGCGUGGACGCCAGUCUGCGUGGAGCCAUCCUUGAAAUACCACCCUUUAAUGUUUGAUGUUCUAACUCGGCCCCAUAAUCUGGGGUGAGGACAGUGUCUGGUGGGUAGUUUGACUGGGGCGGUCUCCUCCCAAAGAGUAACGGAGGAGCACGAAGGUUAGCUAAUCACGGUCGGACAUCGUGAGGUUAGUGCAAAGGCAUAAGCUAGCUUGACUGCGAGAGUGACGGCUCGAGCAGGUACGAAAGUAGGUCUUAGUGAUCCGGUGGUUCUGAAUGGAAGGGCCAUCGCUCAACGGAUAAAAGGUACUCCGGGGAUAACAGGCUGAUACCGCCCAAGAGUUCAUAUCGACGGCGGUGUUUGGCACCUCGAUGUCGGCUCAUCACAUCCUGGGGCUGAAGUAGGUCCCAAGGGUAUGGCUGUUCGCCAUUUAAAGUGGUACGCGAGCUGGGUUUAGAACGUCGUGAGACAGUUCGGUCCCUAUCUGCCGUGGGCGUUGGAAGAUUGAGAGGGGUUGCUCCUAGUACGAGAGGACCGGAGUGAACGCACCACUGGUGUUCGGGUUGUCAUGCCAAUGGCAUUGCCCGGUAGCUAAGUGCGGAAAAGAUAAGCGCUGAAAGCAUCUAAGCGCGAAACUUGCCUCAAGAUGAGUCUUCCCUGGGCCUUUAAGGUCCCUGAAGGAACGUUUAAGACUAAGACGUUGAUAGGCUGGGUGUGUAAGUGCAGCGAUGCAUUGAGCUAACCAGUACUAAUGAUCCGUGAGGCUUAACCUU